RNAcentral lists this ribosomal RNA (253 nucleotides) under uncultured bacterium. RNAcentral's name for it is "partial 16S ribosomal RNA". It matches the Rfam family "Archaeal small subunit ribosomal RNA", at positions 474 to 727 of the family's 1478-position model. The record is from RNAcentral.
UACCAGCACCCCGAGUGGUCGGGACGAUUAUUGGGCCUAAAGCAUCCGUAGCCGGUUCUACAAGUCUUCCGUUAAAUCCACCUGCUUAACAGAUGGGCUGCGGAGGAUACUAUAGAGCUAGGAGGCGGGAGAGGCAAGCGGUACUUAGUGGGUAGGGGUAAAAUCCGUUGAUCCAUUGAAGACCACCAGUGGCGAAGGCGGCUUCCUGGACUAAUACUGACGCUGAGGUGCGAAAGCGUGGGGAGCAAACAGG